This is a Y RNA of Callithrix jacchus (white-tufted-ear marmoset), 102 nucleotides long. It matches the Rfam family "Y RNA". From Rfam's summary of the family: Y RNAs are components of the Ro ribonucleoprotein particle (Ro RNP), in association with Ro60 and La proteins. The Y RNAs and Ro60 and La proteins are well conserved, but the function of the Ro RNP is not known. In humans the RNA component can be one of four small RNAs -- hY1, hY3, hY4 and hY5. Lineage: Eukaryota; Metazoa; Chordata; Mammalia; Primates; Cebidae. The record is from Ensembl.
GGUUGGUCUGAGUGUAGUUGGUGUUUACAAUUACUUAAUCACGGCCAGUUAGGGGUUUCUUUGUUCCAUCACCAUUCCACUGUUCCACUUGACUAGUCUUGA